This 254-nucleotide ribosomal RNA is filed under the name uncultured bacterium. RNAcentral describes it as "partial 16S ribosomal RNA". It matches the Rfam family "Bacterial small subunit ribosomal RNA", at positions 524 to 776 of the family's 1533-position model. The record is from RNAcentral.
UACGUAGGGCGCAAGCGUUAUCCGGAAUUAUUGGGCGUAAAGGGCUCGUAGGCGGUUUGUCGCGUCGGGAGUGAAAACACCGGGCUUAACUCGGUGCUUGCUUUCGAUACGGGCAGACUAGAGUUCGGUAGGGGAGUCUGGAAUUCCUGGUGUAGCGGUGAAAUGCGCAGAUAUCAGGAGGAACACCGGUGGCGAAGGCGGGUCUCUGGGCCGAUACUGACGCUGAGGAGCGAAAGCGUGGGGGAGCGAACAGG